Sycon ciliatum is the source of this 605-nucleotide long non-coding RNA. RefSeq lists it as uncharacterized. Lineage: Eukaryota; Metazoa; Porifera; Calcarea; Leucosolenida; Sycettidae. The transcript has 3 exons. The record is from RefSeq and is a predicted model, not a curated record.
CAUUCACCAUGGCAUUUAUAUGUGGCGCUCGACGUGGGCGACAUGCGACGUUCGCUCGAAGUUCACGCUGACUUCCUUGAGUUCGCCUCGCUAUAAAAUUCGAUCCGCUCUGUGUGUGGAUCAUUCUUGUCUGCUCGUUGUGUUUCACCCUCCCACCUCCCAUUUCUCAUCACUCAUUUACUUUGAUAAAGUGAAUAAAAGGGGUGUUGGCCACGCUCAUUUCCAGCUACUCAGGGCCCUCAGUUGCCGUCCCUCGGACAUAUCUAGACUCUCUUGGCUCUGCCAAGAUCCUGCUCUGGCAGUCGACUAGUCUCUCGUAGCUACUUGGCUCUACCAAGAUUCUGCUCCGGCAGUGUCUACCCAACCGACUCUGAAUCUCUCUCGCCGUAGCCUCUCACACUGCUGGCCAGCACUCCCCCGUACCGCAAACUUGCUGUACGGUUGGCUCAUCUCAUAGUCUAGCUGGUGUAUUUCGAUCAGUACUUUCAAAGAGAACAUCUCCUCUCGCAGAUAGAGUCUUCCUAGACCAGAGACUAGGUGUACGGUUGGCUCAUCUCAUAGUCUAGCUGGCAUAUUUCAAUCAUUACUUUGCAAGAGAACAUCUC